UUGACACAGUGAACCACCAGAUCCUCAUUUCGACACUCCAGGAUCUGGGUGUCUCAGGCCCUGCACUCUCCUUGCUCACAUCUUACCUGGCAGACCGCACCUACCGGGUAACUUGGAGAAGAUCUAUCUCAGAACCUUGCCCACUCAAAACUGGGGACCCUAAUCUUG
This is a long non-coding RNA of Sander lucioperca (pikeperch), 168 nucleotides long. RefSeq lists it as uncharacterized. The record is from RefSeq and is a predicted model, not a curated record. NCBI's taxonomy places the organism in Eukaryota, Metazoa, Chordata, Actinopteri, Perciformes, Percidae. The transcript has 3 exons.